RNAcentral lists this ribosomal RNA (253 nucleotides) under uncultured bacterium. Its description in RNAcentral is "partial 16S ribosomal RNA". It matches the Rfam family "Bacterial small subunit ribosomal RNA", at positions 524 to 776 of the family's 1533-position model. The record is from RNAcentral.
UACGUAGGGUGCGAGCGUUGUCCGGAAUUAUUGGGCGUAAAGGGCGCGUAGGCGGCCAUGCGUGUCUUCCGUGAAAUCCCUCGGCUUAACUGAGGACGUGCGGAAGAAACUGCAAGGCUCGAGUCCGGGAGAGGGGGGUGGAAUUCCCAGUGUAGCGGUGAAAUGCGUAGAUAUUGGGAGGAACACCAGUGGCGAAGGCGGUUGCCUGGGGCUGUGCUGACGCUGAUGCGCGAAAGCGUGGGGAGCGAUCCGG